Molecule: unclassified non-coding RNA, 253 nt
Filed under: uncultured Gammaproteobacteria bacterium
Lineage: Bacteria; Pseudomonadati; Pseudomonadota; Gammaproteobacteria
Description: contains 16S-23S intergenic spacer region
Rfam family: Bacterial small subunit ribosomal RNA
Source: RNAcentral
UACGGAGGGUGCGAGCGUUAAUCGGAAUUACUGGGCGUAAAGGGCGCGUAGGCGGUUUAGUAAGUUGGGUGUGAAAGCCCUGGGCUCAACCUGGGAAUUGCACUUGAUACUGCUGAGCUAGAGUGUGGUAGAGGGAGGCGGAAUUUCCGGUGUAGCGGUGAAAUGCGUAGAUAUCGGAAGGAACACCAGUGGCGAAGGCGGCCUCCUGGACCAUAACUGACGCUGAGGUGCGAAAGCGUGGGGAGCGAACAGG